GUCUACGGUCAUGCUACCCUGCACAAGCCCGAUCCCGUCUAAUCUCGGAAGCUAAGCAGGGUCGGGCCUGGUUAGUACUUGGAUGGGAGACCACCUAGGAAAACCGGGUGCUGCAGGCA
This 119-nucleotide ribosomal RNA is filed under the name Pteropus alecto (black flying fox). The record is from RNAcentral. Lineage: Eukaryota; Metazoa; Chordata; Mammalia; Chiroptera; Pteropodidae.